ACAUGUGAUGGGGAACAACCAAAUUGAGCCUUAUAAAAUAUGGAAAAACUAGGACAAAGGGUCGUGAUCUCGCGAGGGUGAGCAAACUCCAAAAACCCGUCCCCGGUUCGGAUUGCAGGCUGCAACUCGCCUGCAUGAAGCAGGAAUCGCUAGUAAUCGCCGGUCAGCCAUACGGCGGUGAAUCCGUUCC
RNAcentral lists this ribosomal RNA (190 nucleotides) under Aegilops tauschii subsp. strangulata. RNAcentral describes it as "rRNA SSU_rRNA_eukarya". It matches the Rfam family "Bacterial small subunit ribosomal RNA", at positions 925 to 1374 of the family's 1533-position model. Lineage: Eukaryota; Viridiplantae; Streptophyta; Magnoliopsida; Poales; Poaceae. The record is from RNAcentral.